AUGGGAGCCAUCGCUUAUCCAUCUUUCUUGAGUUGGUGGAGGUUCACCGCUUAAAUGGAGAACAGCACGAGGCAGCAAAGGUUUUACAAGAUGCCAUCCAUGAGUUUUCUGGAACUUGCGAAGAAUUACGUGUCACUAUUGCUAAUGCAGACAGAGAAAUUGCUGAAAGGAUGCCCAGCCCCCGGUCUUUCCUGCUCCUUGGUGAUGCAUACAUGAACAUUCAAGAGCCCGAGGAAGCCAUAGUGGCCUAUGAGCAAGCAUUAAAUCAGAACCCAAAAGAUGG
RNAcentral lists this long non-coding RNA (283 nucleotides) under Rattus norvegicus (Norway rat). RNAcentral's name for it is "long non-coding RNA NONRATT019350". Lineage: Eukaryota; Metazoa; Chordata; Mammalia; Rodentia; Muridae. The record is from RNAcentral.